UAGGGAAUCUUCCGCAAUGGACGCAAGUCUGACGGAGCAACGCCGCGUGAGUGAAGAAGGAUUUCGGUUCGUAAAACUCUGUUGUUAGAGAAGAACAGCGCAUAGAGUAACUGUUAUGCGUGUGACGGUAUCUAACCAGAAAGCCACGGCUAACUACGUGCCAGCAGCCGCGGUAAUACGUAGGUGGCAAGCGUUGUCCGGAUUUAUUGGGCGUAAAGCGAGCGCAGGCGGUCAAUUAAGUCUGAUGUGAAAGCCCCCGGCUCAACCGGGGAGGGUCAUUGGAAACUGGUUGACUUGAGUGCAGAAGAGGAGAGUGGAAUUCCAUGUGUAGCGGUGAAAUGCGUAGAGAUAUGGAGGAACACCAGUGGCGAAGGCGACUCUCUGGUCUGUAACUGACGCUGAGGUUCGAAAGCGUGGGUAGCAAACAGG
RNAcentral lists this ribosomal RNA (429 nucleotides) under Bacteroidota bacterium. RNAcentral's name for it is "Bacteroidetes bacterium partial 16S ribosomal RNA". It matches the Rfam family "Bacterial small subunit ribosomal RNA", at positions 355 to 776 of the family's 1533-position model. Lineage: Bacteria; Pseudomonadati; Bacteroidota. The record is from RNAcentral.